RNAcentral lists this unclassified non-coding RNA (2669 nucleotides) under Limulus polyphemus (Atlantic horseshoe crab). RNAcentral describes it as "sodium/potassium/calcium exchanger Nckx30C-like, transcript variant X2". Lineage: Eukaryota; Metazoa; Arthropoda; Merostomata; Xiphosura; Limulidae. The record is from RNAcentral.
AUUUUCGCCGUUGCUGCUAUUUGCUGCUCGACAUACGCCAAGUAACUUUGAUUCCAGCGUUUUUUUCGCCUAUCAUCAUUAAUGGAUCUCUCCCCACGGUUUCCUGAAUGUCAAGUUAAGUGUAAAGAAUUCACUACAGGAGCUCCAAGACAGUCUAUAAUAAAAAUGCACACUCUGACAUCUAAUGGUUCCCUCGACGAAACAACCAGAAUCAGCAGUACCUGUACAGUUUAAUAAAUCUUUAUCUAACCUUAAGUUUCACAAACUUUAGGAAUUGCGUUGAAACAUUUUUUUCAUAGUGUUUAACUUAAAAAAAAAAAAACAAUGAUAGAAGUUUCAUCCAAGCGGUUCCCGAAAAAACGCUGGAGGCCGCUUUUUCAACUUUUUGCUGUUGGUAUAACUUUGGUUUUGUAUCUUUCUUAUUUUUAUUCUACAUCGACCAGUACCAAAAAGACAAGUCAUAGCAAUGAAUGGAAUAAGUUUUUGAAUUUUGAGACAAAAGGAUACAAGUUGGUGCCUUCACGACAUCUGCUUCAAACAAGGAAUCAUAAUAGUAGUGAACCAACCAAACAACCGCCUCAGUUUCCAGAAGACCUGUUCACUGAGCAACAGCGUAAGCACGGGGCAGUGAUUUUUCACGUCCUCGGACUUGUUUACAUGUUCGUUGGUUUGUCCAUUGUGUGUGACGAGUUCUUCGUUCCUACUCUGGACGUGAUCACAGAAAAACUCCAGAUAUCUGAGGAUGUGGCAGGUGCUACCUUCAUGGCAGCUGGAGGGAGUGCACCUGAGCUAUUCACUAGCAUCAUCGGUGUUUUCAUCUCGUUUGAUGAUGUCGGAAUUGGUACCAUCGUGGGGUCGGCUGUCUUCAACAUCCUCUUUGUAAUUUCCAUGUGUGCCAUUUUCAGCAAGGACGUACUGCAACUGACGUGGUGGCCUCUCUUCCGAGACGUUAGUUUUUAUUCCAUUAUAUUAAUAAUCCUUAUGGCAUUUUUCAAUGACAAUAUAAUUCACUGGUACGAAGCCACGGUUCUUUUUUUAUGUUACAUUGCUUACGUGUCCUUCAUGAAGUUCAACUCACAAGUCGAGCAUUUCGUGAAGAGGAUUUUAAAUAGAAAUAAAGUAAAGAAAGUGCGCAGCACAGAUCAUUUGAUGGCAGGUUUGAGUAGAAGGCGUAUGAGUCGACCUAUCCUUCACUCUGGCAGCAAGUUUCGCCAAGGUCUACUACAGUUGAUGAUACACUCUAUCGACCCCAUGCAUGAUGGAAAAAUUGAUGAGAAAGCAUCGCAGCUACACGCCAUUGCCUCAUUGCGUGUUUUGUUGGAAGCAACAAAGCCUCGAAGCACAGAGAAAUCAAACGGCAGCACUGUAAGUUACAGACCUCCGUCUGGUGACAAAUUAUGCACAGCGUGUGCUAUUUGUUCUACUUGUGCUACUUACGCGAAUUGCUCCUGUAAAAAUGUUCAUCCUGUAACAAUUACCGUUUCAUCAACAGACGUCCAUAAUUGUACACCCAAGGAUGGUACAGAAAUCAUUUCCGUAGAUGAAACCGAACUUGGUGAGGAUAAAGACAAGGAUUCUCAUGACAGAGAGCUAGGUAACAUGGUGCCUCUCUCACCUUUGUCUGGUAGUGAACUCAACGAAAGUAUUACAGAUUUGGGCCAGAUAUCUAGAGAUUCUAACGACAAAAGGAAGUUCGAGUGUAUUGCUAGCGGAAGCACACCCAACAACGUGUGUACAAUAACUACUGACUCUGGAUCAGCUGCUGUCCUUGAGUUAUGUUCUGCUCCGGAGGUACAACAAAUAGAAGUCUUGCAACAAGAAGAGCCAUUAGACAUGAGCUGGCCCACCACUUGGCGGAAAAGACUGAACUACGUUCUUGUGGCUCCAAUUAUCUUUCCUUUAUGGCUCACCCUGCCAGAUGUGCGACGGAAGGAGAAACGCAAGUAUUUCCCAGCAUGCUUUUUAGGCAGCAUACUCUGGAUUGCCAUUUUUUCGUAUUUAAUGGUCUGGUGGGCCUCUUUGACUGGUCAAGCUGCAGGAAUACCAAAUGAGGUGAUGGGCUUGACUUUCCUAGCUGCUGGUACAAGUAUUCCAGAUCUUAUUACAAGUGUUCUUGUUGCCCGCAAAGGGUUUGGUGAUAUGGCCGUUUCAAGUUCAAUCGGAAGCAACAUAUUUGAUGUUGCCGUAGGGGUUAAACCCAAAGUGUCCCGAUAUGAGCUUAUAUUCACCUGACAACAUGGCAACACCUGAAAGAGAAAAGUUUCUGUUCUGGUACCGACAGCACCGAGAGGAAAAGUACAUCUUUGACUUUCAAUAUGAGAUGUAUAGAUAUUGUUGAUCAAAUGUUAACAUACUCCGUUGGUGUUGGUUAGAGCUCAGAGAUGAAUUUCUCGCCAGCUGCGAUAUUGACCCUUUCAAGUAUACGACUAUUGCUUCUGUUUGCAUGACCAUAUACAGAGGCAAGUUUAUACAAUUAAAGUUCAUAGCACUUGCACCUAACCACGGAUACACUACAACUAACAACUAUAGUCAGGUAAGUAAACAGUGGUUAUACUACAUGUCUGACGGUGUUAAUAUCCAACAUGCCCUUAAUGGUAGCGAAGUUAAAAUAUUAAAUCAUAGUGUUGAUGGCUCCUGUAGUCGUUGUUGUUGUUUGUAAUUAAGCACAA